UGAUCCUGCGGAAGGUCAUUA
RNAcentral lists this ribosomal RNA (21 nucleotides) under Microbotryomycetes sp. AU_CryS05. Its description in RNAcentral is "partial 18S ribosomal RNA". Lineage: Eukaryota; Fungi; Basidiomycota; Microbotryomycetes. The record is from RNAcentral.